UGGGGAAUAUUGGACAAUGGGCGAAAGCCUGAUCCAGCAAUGCCACGUGAGUGAAGAAGGCCUUCGGGUUGUAAAGCUCUUUUACCAGGGACGAUAAAGACGGUACCUGGAGAAUAAGCCCCGGCAAACUUCGUGCCAGCAGCCGCGGUAAUACGAAGGGGGCUAGCGUUGUUCGGAAUUACUGGGCGUAAAGCGCACGUAGGCGGAUUGUUAAGUCAGAGGUGAAAUCCCGGAGCUCAACUUCGGAACUGCCUUUGAUACUGGCAAUCUAGAGUCCGGAAGAGGUUAGUGGAAUUCCCAGUGUAGAGGUGAAAUUCGUAGAUAUUGGGAAGAACACCAGUGGCGAAGGCGGCUAACUGGUCCGGUACUGACGCUGAGGUGCGAAAGCGUGGGGAGCAAA
This 400-nucleotide ribosomal RNA is filed under the name uncultured bacterium. Its description in RNAcentral is "bacterial SSU rRNA". It matches the Rfam family "Bacterial small subunit ribosomal RNA", at positions 355 to 772 of the family's 1533-position model. The record is from RNAcentral.